GAUUCAAAUUUACGUCAACGUCCGUUACGUUGGUGACGUCACCACGAGCGCGAGAAGUCGAACUGAGGAGUAGAAACCGUUGUUAAUGUUAAUUCUGGCCCGUUUGGACCCAAACUAAAGUGUAUCAGUAUGAAGCAGGCGGAGACGGCGCACUGAUUCACUCUCAGAGCUCGAUUCACUAAUGACCGAAUCACCGAGGAACCGACCAAAGAUAACUCACACCCUCACGGAGAAGAAGAACAAGAGGAGGAGAAGAUGAGCUGGAGUGGGGCAAAGAGAACUGCAUUCAGAUCAAACGGAUACAAGAGGUGGCCGAGUUGUUUGAGGAUCUGAAGAAUUGAGUGUCACAAUUCAACAUGCACAUCAGCGAAACUUCUCCCUCUGACUACACCAGCACGCACACACAGAAAUUCAUAGUGCAGGUGGCGAUUGCAGGCGCAUUUUAUCCGAACUGCUUCCUCCAGGGAACUGUGGACGAGGAGCUCGCCUCCAAGGAACUCUAUGGAAACGACCCCAGGACCACCAUAGUGGUAUUCAGUCAGCUUCCAUUUAAC
Long non-coding RNA from Ictalurus punctatus (channel catfish), 554 nucleotides. RefSeq lists it as uncharacterized. Lineage: Eukaryota; Metazoa; Chordata; Actinopteri; Siluriformes; Ictaluridae. The record is from RefSeq and is a predicted model, not a curated record. The transcript is spliced from 5 exons.